AAUCUACCCUGUCGUGGGGGAUAACGUAGGGAAACUUACGCUAAUACCGCAUACGACCUAUGGGUGAAAGCGGCGGACCGCAAGGCGUCGCGCGACUGGAUGAGCCGAUGUCCGAUUAGCUAGUUGGCGGGGUAAUGGCCCACCAAGGCGACGAUCGGUAGCUGGUCUGAGAGGAUGAUCAGCCACACUGGAACUGAGACACGGUCCAGACUCCUACGGGAGGCAGCAGUGGGGAAUAUUGGACAAUGGGCGCAAGCCUGAUCCAGCCAUGCCGCGUGUGU
Molecule: ribosomal RNA, 281 nt
Filed under: uncultured bacterium
Lineage: Bacteria
Description: partial 16S ribosomal RNA
Rfam family: Bacterial small subunit ribosomal RNA
Source: RNAcentral